Molecule: ribosomal RNA, 468 nt
Filed under: uncultured bacterium
Lineage: Bacteria
Description: partial 16S ribosomal RNA
Rfam family: Bacterial small subunit ribosomal RNA
Source: RNAcentral
GACGAACGCUGGCGGCGUGCUUAACACAUGCAAGUCGAACGGAAAGGCCCUGCUUUUGUGGGGUGCUCGAGUGGCGAACGGGUGAGUAACACGUGAGUAACCUGCCCUUGACUUUGGGAUAACUUCAGGAAACUGGGGCUAAUACCGGAUAGGAGCUCCUGCUGCAUGGUGGGGGUUGGAAAGUUUCGGCGGUUGGGGAUGGACUCGCGGCUUAUCAGCUUGUUGGUGGGGUAGUGGCUUACCAAGGCUUUGACGGGUAGCCGGCCUGAGAGGGUGACCGGCCACAUUGGGACUGAGAUACGGCCCAGACUCCUACGGGAGGCAGCAGUGGGGAAUAUUGCACAAUGGGCGGAAGCCUGAUGCAGCAACGCCGCGUGCGGGAUGACGGCCUUCGGGUUGUAAACCGCUUUCGCCUGUGACGAAGCGUGAGUGGCGGUAAUGGGUAGAGAAGCACCGGCUAACUACGUG